UGGCCUACGGGGCGCAGCAGUGGGGAAUAUUGCACAAUGGGGGAAACCCUGAUGCAGCGACGCCGCGUGAGUGAAGAAGUAAUUCGUUACGUAAAGCUCUAUCAGCAGGGAAGAAACACUGACCUUACGGUCAGCAGACGGUACCUGAGUAAGAAGCCCCGGCUAACUACGUGCCAGCAGCCGCGGUAAUACGUAGGGGGCAAGCGUUAUCCGGAUUUACUGGGUGUAAAGGGAGCGUAGACGGCGCGGCAAGUCUGAAGUGAAAGGCAGGGGCUUAACCCCUGAACUGCUUUGGAAACUGGCAU
RNAcentral lists this ribosomal RNA (305 nucleotides) under uncultured bacterium. Its description in RNAcentral is "bacterial SSU rRNA". It matches the Rfam family "Bacterial small subunit ribosomal RNA", at positions 335 to 639 of the family's 1533-position model. The record is from RNAcentral.